This 213-nucleotide unclassified non-coding RNA is filed under the name plant metagenome. Its description in RNAcentral is "partial contains small subunit ribosomal RNA, internal transcribed spacer 1, and 5.8S ribosomal RNA". The record is from RNAcentral.
UUUCCGUAGGUGAACCUGCGGAAGGAUCAUUCAUAAUAAGUGUUUUAUGGCACUUUUUUAAAUCCAUAUCCACCUCGUGUGCAAUGUCAGGGUUGAUUUUUCUCUCGAGAGGACCAACCCCAAACAUCAACUAUAUCUCAACUCUUUGUCUGAAAAAUAUUAUGAAUAAAACAAUUCAAAAUACAACUUUCAACAACGGAUCUCUUGGCUCUC